Molecule: long non-coding RNA, 305 nt
Filed under: Setaria italica (foxtail millet)
Lineage: Eukaryota; Viridiplantae; Streptophyta; Magnoliopsida; Poales; Poaceae
Description: long non-coding RNA (SITA_LNC002739)
Source: RNAcentral
CUGGAUUGAAGGAUUCGUGGUCAAGAACUAUCCUGGAAAAAAGUAUAUGAUAAAAUUGGCAAGGAUCUACAGAGAUAUCAUGGCGAAUCUAGCUCGCCGCCGGGAUGAAAGGAGAAAAUGUCGCAGUGAGUCAUCUCCACAUAGCUUAAUUUGGUCGGUGCACGGUUUUGUUGUCUGCCUUUGCCGAUGUAAUCGCCGUCUCACCUCUGGCCGCAUCCCGGCGGCGAGCAGCCACUGCCUACGGCGCCAGCGAGGAACAUGAACGCGACGAGUGGCACGGCGAGCACUGCGAGCAAGGUGGACGC